CAAGGAGUAGUUUAAUUAGAAUAUCAGCUUUGGGAGUUGAUGGUGGGGUUAGUGUAGUACUUCCUCCUUGA
RNAcentral lists this transfer RNA (71 nucleotides) under Dasypus novemcinctus (nine-banded armadillo). Its description in RNAcentral is "tRNA-Pro". Lineage: Eukaryota; Metazoa; Chordata; Mammalia; Cingulata; Dasypodidae. RNAcentral also lists the same sequence under 1 other name. The record is from RNAcentral.